ACUACGGGUGGCAGCAGUCGAGAAUCAUUCACAAUGGGGGAAACCCUGAUGGGGCGACGCCGCGUGGGGGAAUGAAGGUCUGCGGAUUGUAAACCCCUGUCAUGUGGGAGCAAAUUAAAAAGAUAGUACCACAAGAGGAAGAGACGGCUAACUCGGUGCCAGCAGCCGCGGUAAGACAGAGGACUCAAGCGUUGUUCGGAAUCACUGGGCGUAAAGGGUGCGGAGGCUGUUUCGUAAGUCGUGUGUGAAAGGCGCGGGCUCACCCCGCGGACGGCACAUGAUACUGCGAGACUAGAGUAAUGGAGGGGGAACCGGACUUCUCGGUGUAGCAGUGAAAUGCGUAGAUAUCGAGAGGAACACUCGUGGCGAAGGCGGGUUCCUGGACAUUACCUGACGCUGAGGCACGAAGGCCCGGGGAGCGAAAGGGAUUAGAUACCCCAGUAGUC
RNAcentral lists this ribosomal RNA (446 nucleotides) under uncultured bacterium. RNAcentral describes it as "partial 16S ribosomal RNA". It matches the Rfam family "Bacterial small subunit ribosomal RNA", at positions 338 to 795 of the family's 1533-position model. The record is from RNAcentral.